This 629-nucleotide unclassified non-coding RNA is filed under the name Hevea brasiliensis (rubber tree). The record is from RNAcentral. Lineage: Eukaryota; Viridiplantae; Streptophyta; Magnoliopsida; Malpighiales; Euphorbiaceae.
CGAGUCCUCAAAAAGCUGGGUCACAUUGACACUGACGGUGUUGUGCAGUUGAAGGGGCAGGCAGCCUGCUUGAUAGAAACUGGAGACGAACUUCUCGUAACUGAAUUGAUGUUUAAUGGUACAUUCAAUGAUCUUAAUCAUCAUCAAGUUGCGGCUCUGGCAAGCUGCUUUAUCCCAGGUGAUAGAUCAGAGGAGAAAAUACAAUUAAGAGAUGAGCUUGAAAAACCAUUGCAACAGUUACAAGAUAGUGCAAGAAGAAUAGCAGAGAUACAACAUGAAUGCAAGCUGGAAAUAGAUGUUGAUGAAUAUGUGGUGGCAUCAGUUCAACCAUUCUUAAUGGAUGUUAUUUACUGUUGGUCAAUGGGUGCAUCUUUUGCGGAGGUUAUACAAAUGACAGAUAUCUUUGAAGGUAGCAUCACACGGCUGGCUAGAAGGCUUGAUGAAUUUUUAAACCAGUUGAAAGCUGCCGCACAUGCUGUGGGAGAAGUAGAUUUACAGAACAAAUUUGGUGCAGCAAGUGACAGUAUUCGGCGAGGGAUAAUGUUUGCAAAUUCUCUCUACCUGUGAAGUAGAUCAGUGCUGUGUAGUCUCAGUCCCUAGUUCUUCAUUUAUUCAAAGUAGAUUUACAG